This 714-nucleotide long non-coding RNA is filed under the name Panax ginseng (ginseng). Its description in RNAcentral is "long non-coding RNA (PGIN_LNC007765)". The record is from RNAcentral. Lineage: Eukaryota; Viridiplantae; Streptophyta; Magnoliopsida; Apiales; Araliaceae.
CCGAACUAAAACCAAUAAGAACAAAAAAUAAGCUAAAGCAAAACUGAAUUCCAAGUUAAGGUUUUCCCCAAAAUUAUAUAUCCAGUGUCAAGCCAACUCAGCAGCAGAACAUAGACCAAUACCUCAUGUGAACCUAUGCCAAAAUGAGCUAAAUUGGUUGCCAAUCCAAUACCAAAUAUUCAAUAGUAAUGCCAAUCCAAUGUAGAAACAAGCCCCAACCAAUGGCCAAGUAAUUCCCAAUGAAUUCCAAGUUAAAUUGAGUCCAAACAACCCAAAACCUCACUUCAACAAACUGUCAAACACCUUGUGUGCACUGCUGAAAACCUAACUUGACAACCCUUGUUUGAAAGUUCUCUAUCCAGAUUUCAGCCAGUGGAAAUCACCAAAAUCAAUAGAGAGGACAAAGCCCAAGGCAAAUCACAACACAAAUAGAAUCAUAAGACACAAUUAGGACUAAGCUCAUUGGAGAAGAAAAAUCUAACUUUACCUUCAAACUGAAAAUCCUAAGUGAGAAGCAAUCUCUGCUCAAGCCUUUUAGAUGGCAAUCAAUGAAAGAAAAUUAAUUUAGUGAAGGCUUUUGGUUGAUGGGUGUGGCUUGGGGACAAUUUAAGAAGUAGGUUGGGGCUGUUGUUUAGAGCUGUCGAUAGAAGGGUGAGAAAUGGCCUAACUUGCCGACUUUUGUCUGUUUUAAAAAGAAAAAAAUCGCUAUUGGCG